RNAcentral lists this ribosomal RNA (979 nucleotides) under Ceratocystis fimbriata. Its description in RNAcentral is "LSU rRNA". It matches the Rfam family "Eukaryotic large subunit ribosomal RNA", at positions 88 to 1081 of the family's 3401-position model. The record is from RNAcentral. Lineage: Eukaryota; Fungi; Ascomycota; Sordariomycetes; Microascales; Ceratocystidaceae.
GGCGAGUGAAGCGGCAACAGCUCAAAUUUGAAAUCUGGCUACCUUUCGUAGUCCGAGUUGUAAUUUGUAGAGGAUGCUUUUGGUGAGGUGCCUUCCGAGUUCCCUGGAACGGGACGCCAUAGAGGGUGAGAGCCCCGUACGGUUGGAUACCAAACCUCUGUAUAGCUCCUUCAACGAGUCGAGUAGUUUGGGAAUGCUGCUCUAAAUGGGAGGUAUAUCUCUUCUAAAGCUAAAUAUAGGCUAGAGACCGAUAGCGCACAAGUAGAGUGAUCGAAAGAUGAAAAGCACUUUGAAAAGAGAGUUAAACAGCACGUGAAAUUGUUGAAAGGGAAGCGCCUAUGACCAGACUUGUUUCUGGCAGUUUCGUUAGCCCUCGGGCUGAUUUACUCUGUCCAGUACAGGCCAGCAUCAGUUUGCUGUCGGGGAGAAAGGCUCUGGGAACGUAGCUCCCCCCUUCUGGGGGGAGUGUUAUAGCCCUCUGCAUAAUACCCUUCGGCAGACUGAGGACCGCGCUUCGGCAAGGAUGCUGGCGUAAUGGUCAUCAGCGACCCGUCUUGAAACACGGACCAAGGAGUCAACCUUAUGUGCGAGUGUUUGGGUGUAAAACCCCAGCGCGUAAUGAAAGUGAACGUAGGUGAGAGCUUCGGCGCAUCAUCGACCGAUUCUGAUGUUUUCGGAUGGAUUUGAGUAAGAGCACACAGGGUUGGACCCGAAAGAAGGUGAACUAUGCUUGUAUAGGGUGAAGCCAGAGGAAACUCUGGUGGAGGCUCGCAGCGGUUCUGACGUGCAAAUCGAUCGUCAAAUAUGAUCAUGGGGGCGAAAGACUAAUCGAACCUUCUAGUAGCUGGUUCCAGCCGAAGUUUCCCUCAGGAUAGCAGUGUUGAAUUUUCUUCAGUUUUAUGAGGUAAAGCGAAUGAUUAGGGACUCGGGGGCGCUAUAUUGCCUUCAUCCAUUCUCAAACUUUAAAUAUGUAAGAAGC